RNAcentral lists this ribosomal RNA (440 nucleotides) under uncultured bacterium. RNAcentral describes it as "partial 16S ribosomal RNA". It matches the Rfam family "Bacterial small subunit ribosomal RNA", at positions 339 to 795 of the family's 1533-position model. The record is from RNAcentral.
CUACGGGCUGCUGCCAGUGAGGAAUAUUGCACAAUGGGGGGAACCCUGAUGCAGCAACGCCGCGUGGAGGAUGACGCAUUUCGGUGUGUAAACUCCUUUUAUAUGUCAAGAAGAUGACGGUAGCAUAUGAAUAAGCACCGGCUAACUCCGUGCCAGCAGCCGCGGUAAUACGGAGGGUGCAAGCGUUACUCGGAAUCACUGGGCGUAAAGGACGCGUAGGCGGGUUGGAAAGUCAGGUGUGAAAUCCUACAGCUUAACUGUAGAACUGCACUUGAAACUUCUAAUCUAGAGUAUGGGAGGGGGAGAUGGAAUUAGUGGUGUAGGGGUAACAUCCGUAGAUAUCACUAGGAAUACCUAAAGCGAAGGCGAUCUCCUGGAACAUUACUGACGCUAAGGCGUGAAAGCGUGGGGAGCAAACAGGAUUAGAUACCCCGGUAGUC